UGUUAAUACUUUUAGGGUGCGUUUGAUUCGAGUUUUCCUGGCAGGAUUACAGGCAAUCCUGCCAGGAUAACUGUGUUUGGUUAAUCUGCUAUGUAAUCUAGUCGUUAAUGUAGCAUUACAAAUCGAGCAGGAUUAUAUCGAAAAUAUUAACAGGAGGAGGGUCGAGUAUCUUGCAUUAUUGAAACCCGUUAAUACUAUAUAUUAUGUAAAAUGAUAAUUUUACCCUCCAACAAUCCCAAAUCUAAUUAACAGCAUUAUUUUCAUCUUUCUCUCUCCUUCCCCCCGGCCCUCUCUAUCGCACGCCACUUUCUCUCGCUCUCUCUCGACGUCUCUCUCUCUCUCUCUCGCACGAACACCUAUCAUCUUCUAUUGCGUCAUCCUCCCAGGUAAUCAUCAUGAUCUCCUUACCUUCAUUCGUCAUUUCCGCAAAAAAUAAUAUUCAAAUGACCACAACAAGGGCAAUUUUGAAAAAAAUUAUACUUUUAUGUCAGGAUUACUAAAUUUUAUAAACUAAACCAAACGUAUUAAUGCUAUAAACACUGUAAUUUAGUAUUACAUUACUGCAUUAAACCAAACGCGCUAAUACAACAUCAGUAGUAAUCUCACGCCGAAAUCCAAGAUACCUGGAUAUGUCGAGAUACUUUGUAAUAUUACAUAACUCGAACCAAACGGGCCCUUACCAACAUUGGUAUAUGCAGCAUUUAGUGUCAUAUGCUGCUAAAACUUUUAGCAGCAUUUCUUGAUCAUUUAACAGUAUAAAUAAAUGCCACUAAUGACUAAUUUUCUAGUAAUGAAUUCUAAUCCAUAAAUCUCACCUUAGCCACCAUAGUCA
This 832-nucleotide long non-coding RNA is filed under the name Ananas comosus (pineapple). Its description in RNAcentral is "long non-coding RNA (ACOM_LNC039138)". The record is from RNAcentral. Lineage: Eukaryota; Viridiplantae; Streptophyta; Magnoliopsida; Poales; Bromeliaceae.